CGUACUCUAAAUUAUGGAUUUUCGUGUCCAACUUUGACUGUCUAUCUUAUAUGAAAUUUUUUUAUAAUUUAUAUUUUUAUUGUUGUUAGAUGAUAAAACAUGAUUAAUAUUUUAUACGUGAAUUGUCUUUUUAUUUUUUUUCAAAUAAGACAGACAGUCAAACGUUGGGCACGGAAACCAGGGCUUGUCUUUUU
Molecule: microRNA precursor, 194 nt
Organism: Oryza sativa Japonica Group (Japanese rice)
Lineage: Eukaryota; Viridiplantae; Streptophyta; Magnoliopsida; Poales; Poaceae
Rfam family: MIR812 microRNA precursor family
Source: Rfam